GGAGAUGCCAUAGCUCAGUGUUAAGAGCAUCUGCUUUGCAUGCAGAAGGUCCCAGGUCCAAUCCACAGCAUCUCCA
Podarcis lilfordi (Lilford's wall lizard) is the source of this 76-nucleotide non-coding RNA. The record is from the annotation of a GenBank genome assembly. NCBI's taxonomy places the organism in Eukaryota, Metazoa, Chordata, Lepidosauria, Squamata, Lacertidae.